UACAGAGGGUGCGAGCGUUAAUCGGAAUUACUGGGCGUAAAGCGCGCGUAGGCGGCUUUGCAAGCCGGAUGUGAAAUCCCCGGGCUUAACCUGGGAAUGGCGAUGGAGACUGCGAGGCUAGAGUUUGGCAGAGGGGGGUAGAAUUCCACGUGUAGCAGUGAAAUGCGUAGAGAUGUGGAGGAACACCGAUGGCGAAGGCAGCCCCCUGGGUCAAAACUGACGCUCAUGCACGAAAGCGUGGGGAGCAAACAGG
This 253-nucleotide ribosomal RNA is filed under the name uncultured bacterium. RNAcentral's name for it is "partial 16S ribosomal RNA". It matches the Rfam family "Bacterial small subunit ribosomal RNA", at positions 524 to 776 of the family's 1533-position model. The record is from RNAcentral.